This 278-nucleotide long non-coding RNA is filed under the name Vigna radiata. RNAcentral's name for it is "long non-coding RNA (VRAD_LNC012618)". The record is from RNAcentral. Lineage: Eukaryota; Viridiplantae; Streptophyta; Magnoliopsida; Fabales; Fabaceae.
GUGACAGUGUCAUUGCAUCUUUUGUUUCUUGGUGUGUUCGUUUUGCGAAAUGGCGAGUUCUUCGAGCAGGGUAAGCGCGUUCAUCUUUGGUGGGUUUUGGUGUUUAGUGUUUCUUAUUUUGAGUUUGGGUUUUGUGUGUUUAAUUUCAUUUAGGGUUUUUAAGUUUGGUUUUUUGGAUUUUAUAUGCAGUUGACGGUUCGCCACUUAGUUUUUUGGAUUUGGAAAGAACUACUACCUUAAUAUCGUCCAUCGAAACGUAGUCAAAGUUUUAACAGCUG